This 1286-nucleotide long non-coding RNA is filed under the name Equus caballus (horse). Its description in RNAcentral is "lncRNA (ENSECAG00000055810.1)". The record is from RNAcentral. Lineage: Eukaryota; Metazoa; Chordata; Mammalia; Perissodactyla; Equidae.
GGAUGAGGAAGAGGGGUCUCGAAAUCAGCAGGGGCUGUUUGCGGCCUUUCUGUCGUAAAUCUGGUCCAGCCAGUCCUGAGGGAGAUGGAGUGUCAUUAAGGGUCAGCGGCCUUAAUUCUUGAACUGUCUUUCCAGUUAGAUCCCAAUUCUUAGAGAUUCAGUGAACCUAAGAAAUGGUGCAAAAAUUAUUUAGGUCAACUUGGAAAUGAGAGCAAGGAAGAAAUAAGACAUAAAGACACAGAAAACUGGAAUGUGCUUUGGAGAACACCUAGGUCAACGUCCUCGCUGAGGACACAGCAAAGAACAAAACAGAUACAGCUCCUUCUCUCCUACCCGGCUCCUUACAGCCCAGUAAGGGAGACGGAUGUGAAACCAUCUUACAGAUAAGUACUAAGUGGCAUAAAGAGAAAAGGAAAUGCAGGAUGCCAAUGAGAUAUUCAAUGGGGAGUUGUAAAUUAGACAGGGGUGGUAGAUAAGGGAAUGCUUCUCCAAGGAAGCAGCUUUUUUUUUUAAAGAUUGGCAUCUGUUGCCAAUCUUCUUUUCUUUUCUUCUCCCCAAAGCCCCCCAGUACAUAGUUGUAUAUUUUAGCUGUGAGUACCUCUGGUUGUGCUAUGUAGGACGCCGCCUCAGCCUCCAGGAUCUGAACCGGCGAAACCCUGGGCUCCCAAAGCAGAGUGCAGGAACUUAACCACUCGGCCACUGGGCCUGCCCCAGGAAGCAGCUUUUAAACUAAGGAGUGUCUGUGGGGUGGGGAGUCGGGGGAAGAGCCAAGUGUUCCCUGGAGAGGAAGCAGUAUGUGUGGAAGCCCAGAGGUGGGAAAGGGCUUGAUUCCUUCGAGCAGCAGAAUAAGCCCUCUGAGGUAGGUACUGCUUAGUAUUGAGGGAACAGAUGUCACACAGCUGAGAAAUAGCAGAGCGGAUUUGUGUCCGGGUUGGUGUGGCCUCAAAGUCUGUGCCUUGAACCGCUGGUCAUUGCCUCCCAGAUUGGAGUCUGAGGUUUGGAGUGGUGAAGUGAUUUGCCCUGAAUGUCAUGGCUUGCAACAGAGCCGAGCCCUGCAGAGAGGUCUGCAGAUUUUUCACUGUGCUGUGAAAGGACACAGGGACAGGGAGAGUAGGGAGGGCAUGGAAAGAAAAGGUCCUCUUUGCCCAGACCUUGGGGUUUGCUAGAACUUAGGGUUUCCUGGAGUGGAAAGAGGUAGACGUUUUUAAGCAUCUGUCUCUAGGGGUGUGCUGCUGGUCAGCAGGCAGCCCCCUUGGAGGGUUGCUGGGCCUGGCGUGCCAGGGCAG